Dreissena polymorpha is the source of this 1543-nucleotide long non-coding RNA. RefSeq lists it as uncharacterized. The record is from RefSeq and is a predicted model, not a curated record. NCBI's taxonomy places the organism in Eukaryota, Metazoa, Mollusca, Bivalvia, Myida, Dreissenidae. The transcript is spliced from 2 exons.
GAUAGCUGAAACAGUCCCUGUGCAAUCUAAUCAGACACUCCACAUUCGCGUCCAUUUGGGUUUAUUUCUUAUCUGAACGUGACAGGACUCGGGCGCAGCAACAUGAAUGGAACUAAAUACAUUAUGGUGGCUGGUGUCAUCAUUUUGUCUUGGCUUGGAUCACCUGGCCACACGUUCAUUCUGGACACCAUAACAGAUCCAUGCUCGUACAAUUCCUACGCCAUUUACUGCUCCGCACGUGAUCUUACUCGGAUCCCUUCUUUUGACGAGAAACUAUUCAAUAAUACCCGGUUGCACUGGACCGGAAUAAGAUUUCCAGCAUUCCAGACGAUGCAUUUCAAACUUUACGCUUCAUGAACUGUUCAUUAGCUAUUCAUAUCGAUCAAAAUAACAUUUCGCAAUUAAGCGAAUACGCGUUUCGUGGCAUCGAAUCAAGCGUGACCGGAUUUUAUCUUGACAACAACAACCUUCUAACGUUGCCAGAAGCAAUAAGCUCGCUUACACAUCUGGAAUCUCUUUCUAUUUUACAAAAUACUUUAUUAUCGUUAAAUUCCGCAGUCGCGGCUAAAAUUGGACUUUCUCUUAAACGUCUAGAUCUUGGGAUGGCAUCAUUUCAAAGAUGGCCUUCUAACAAUUUCUUAGAAUAUAUUGAAGAUAACGAUAUGAAUGGGUUAAGUAAUUUAACACAACUUUAUCUACAAUUUAAUCCAAUCCAAAAUAUCACAUUAAUGGCAUUUCACAAGACGCCUAAUCUAAUACGACUGAUUCUGUCGAACACCUUUCUAACCACUUUGCCUGGCGCCGUCACUGUGCUACCAUCUCUUCAUCUGCUUAAUCUUACUAACACAUACGUUGAAUGUUCUUGUGACAUGGUGAAUCUGAAGGGUUGGAAAGUAUCUUACAUAGUGCUUGACGGAGAAUGUUACCAAAGAAGUCAACGUAUUCAAGAGUAUCUCACGAGUUACAUCGAUACCGAUAGAUGCUAGAUAUGUCAAGAUUUAGCUUUUUGUGUAGACAAUUGUUUAAACUUCCUACCCCUUUCACUUGUUUAUUGUUUUUAUUACAUAAGUAUUUAAAGGUAUAUGUCAAUAAAAAUCAUUCAAAAACCAUGAAAGUUUUUUUUGUAAUUGAGCAUACUUUAAAUUAAUAAUAAGACAGGUAAUCGAUGUUGUUUUACUUGAAUAAUUAUCAACAGCAUCAUUUAUCAUUCAACACAUAAAACAAAAUAUUUAAAUGUUCGUCUUUAUGAUACGUUAAUAAUUAUAAACGGGUGAUUAUAACAAUUUAUUUUCUUUAAUAAUCGUGACAUAAAAUUAUUGUAUAGUAGUUUGAAUAUUAAUUUUUUUAUAACGGGUAAUUAUUUUCUAAGUUUAAUUUAUACUUGCAGUUUGAUCAAGCAAGUUAAGUCUGCUUUCCGGUACCACUUAAAUUAAACAUACUUAAUACUUAUGACCAUGUACAUUUACAUCAGUAUAAUAGUUUUCCGUUUUGUUAAUUUGCCUUUUUGUGAGUGUGUUUAAGAAAAUAAAGGUUAGAAUAUGUU